AUCACUAAAGUCUAUCAAUUGGU
This 23-nucleotide non-coding RNA is filed under the name Arabidopsis thaliana (thale cress). The record is from RNAcentral. Lineage: Eukaryota; Viridiplantae; Streptophyta; Magnoliopsida; Brassicales; Brassicaceae.